UACGAAGGGGGCUAGCGUUGCUCGGAAUCACUGGGCGUAAAGGGCGCGUAGGCGGCCAUUCAAGUCGGGGGUGAAAGCCUGUGGCUCAACCACAGAAUUGCCUUCGAUACCGUUUGGCUUGAGUCUGGUAGAGGUUGGUGGAACUGCGAGUGUAGAGGUGAAAUUCGUAGAUAUUCGCAAGAACACCGGUGGCGAAGGCGGCCAACUGGACCAGUACUGACGCUGAGGCGCGAAAGCGUGGGGAGCAAACAGG
RNAcentral lists this ribosomal RNA (253 nucleotides) under uncultured bacterium. RNAcentral describes it as "partial 16S ribosomal RNA". It matches the Rfam family "Bacterial small subunit ribosomal RNA", at positions 524 to 776 of the family's 1533-position model. The record is from RNAcentral.